Molecule: long non-coding RNA, 433 nt
Filed under: Gallus gallus (chicken)
Lineage: Eukaryota; Metazoa; Chordata; Aves; Galliformes; Phasianidae
Description: long non-coding RNA NONGGAT000974
Source: RNAcentral
CACAGUUGUUGCCUAGUGCAAGGCGACAGUAGGACAGAGGGGUUCUACCCUAACAUUCUCUUUUCAAGACUACAGGGACAGUCUUAUUUCCUACUUGCCUCAGGCUCCGACCCCUGGGAUAUGUGUUCCCACUCCCUAGCAGCAAGGGAAGAAUGAGUGGCUUUUCUGUGCUAGCAGAACAUCUCACUCCUCAGAUUUUGACUUCUCUUGCCUCUUCUUGUCGGUGUUGGACACGGCCAUCAGUAGACACAGUUCUGAGCAAUCACCGAGGAAGGUUUUUCUUAUGCACUGUGGUAAUUGUGUCAGAACUCAAGGCAGUCCCACCGGUGUUCAGGUUUCAUCUGCCAUUCCCAGAGGAUUUCAUUACUCCCGCACAACCCUUUUUUCCUAGCAAGAUUUCACAUUGCCAGCUGGUUUUGCUGCUCAAGCCAGG